RNAcentral lists this transfer RNA (68 nucleotides) under Marmota monax (woodchuck). RNAcentral describes it as "tRNA.Tyr". The record is from RNAcentral. Lineage: Eukaryota; Metazoa; Chordata; Mammalia; Rodentia; Sciuridae.
GGAAUAUAGCUCAGUUGGUAGAAUGCUUGUCUGUAUGCACAAAGCCCUGGGUUCAAUCCCCAGCACCA